This 254-nucleotide ribosomal RNA is filed under the name uncultured bacterium. RNAcentral's name for it is "partial 16S ribosomal RNA". It matches the Rfam family "Bacterial small subunit ribosomal RNA", at positions 524 to 776 of the family's 1533-position model. The record is from RNAcentral.
UACGUAGGGUGCAAGCGUUGUCCGGAAUUAUUGGGCGUAAAGAGCUCGUAGGCGGUGUGUCGCGUCGGCCGUGAAAACCUGCAGCUUAACUGUGGGCUUGCGGUCGAUACGGGCAUCACUGGAGUUCGGCAGGGGAGACUGGAAUUCCUGGUGUAGCGGUGAAAUGCGCAGAUAUCAGGAGGAACACCGGUGGCGAAGGCGGUUCUCUGGGCCCGUACUGACGCUGAGGAACGAAAGCGUGGGGAGCGAACAGG